RNAcentral lists this long non-coding RNA (302 nucleotides) under Mytilus galloprovincialis (Mediterranean mussel). Lineage: Eukaryota; Metazoa; Mollusca; Bivalvia; Mytilida; Mytilidae. The record is from RNAcentral.
GUUUUUCUGCACCAGAUGCGCAUUUCGACAAUCAGUGUCUCUUCAGUGAUGCUCGAGGCCAAAAUAUUUCAAAAUCUUAUUUCAAAACUGAAGAGCUAUAAACCAAAUAGGACAAAAGAAUAGCAAAAGCUAGGCAAGGAAUCAGAGCUAUAGAUAGAUAUAGGAAGAUGUGGUGUGAGUGCCAAUGAAUCAACUCUCCAUCCAAAUGACAAUUUAAAAAAAAUAAAAACACUAUAGGUCAAUGUACGGCCUUCAACACGGAGCCUUGGCUCACACCGAACAACAAGCUAUAAAAUGCCCCA